Molecule: ribosomal RNA, 432 nt
Filed under: uncultured bacterium
Lineage: Bacteria
Description: partial 16S ribosomal RNA
Rfam family: Bacterial small subunit ribosomal RNA
Source: RNAcentral
AACGAACGCUGGCGGCAUGCCUAACACAUGCAAGUCGAACGAGACCUUCGGGUCUAGUGGCGCACGGGUGCGUAACGCGUGGGAACCUGCCCUUAGGUUCGGAAUAACUCCCCGAAAGGGGUGCUAAUACCGGAUAAUGUCUUCGGACCAAAGAUUUAUCGCCUUUGGAUGGGCCCGCGUUGGAUUAGCUAGUUGGUAGGGUAAAAGCCUACCAAGGCGACGAUCCAUAGCUGGUCUGAGAGGAUGAUCAGCCACACUGGGACUGAGACACGGCCCAGACCCCGAGGGGGGGGAGCAGGGGGGAAUAAUGGACAAUGGGCGAAAGCCUAACCCCGCAAUGCCGGGGGAGUGAUGAAGGCCUUAGGGUUGUAAAGCUUUUUUACCCGGGAUGGUAAUGAACGUACCGGGAGAAUAAGCCCCGGCUAACUCCGU